AGAACGAACGCUGGCGGCACGCCUAACACAUGCAAGUCGAACGAGACCCCGACUUCGGUCGGACGUCUAGUGGCGCACGGGUGCGUAACGCGUGGGAAUCUGCCCUUGGGUUCGGGAUAACAGUUGGAAACGACUGCUAAUACCGGAUGAUGACUUCGGUCCAAAGAUUUAUCGCCCAGGGAUGAGCCCGCGUAGGAUUAGCUUGUUGGUGAGGUAACGGCUCACCAAGGCGACGAUCGGUAGCC
Molecule: ribosomal RNA, 245 nt
Filed under: uncultured soil bacterium
Lineage: Bacteria
Description: partial 16S ribosomal RNA
Rfam family: Bacterial small subunit ribosomal RNA
Source: RNAcentral